Molecule: long non-coding RNA, 1432 nt
Organism: Diorhabda sublineata
Lineage: Eukaryota; Metazoa; Arthropoda; Insecta; Coleoptera; Chrysomelidae
Exons: 2
Source: RefSeq, a predicted model, not a curated record
GUAGUAUCUGUAUCAAAACGUAUCACUCCUUUUGUUAAUUUAGUACCGAUUAGUCCAACAUCGAUCGUUAUUUAAACACGAAAAAUAAAAAAAAAAUAAUAUGGAAAAAAUCACGAGGAUAUUUCUGUUUGUGUUGAUUCUCGUAGUCGGCAUUUUGUUGGCAUUCCCCGUAGAACAGAAUGGUACCGUGGUGAACGCUUUCGAACCGAAUUUAACCAAGAUCGUAGGAGCCAAAUCGUGCCCAAAUGGCACCGAAUCGAAAGGGAAUUGCGACGAAGUCGUCGUUGAGGAAAAACGGACUAUCGAAAAUAAAUGUUCGCAAAAUUCGGAACUCGAAGAAUGUAAAGGAUUCGUGUCUACGUCCACGAGCAGUACCACGCCUCCGACGGAAAAUAAAGACAAGUUGUGUUUGUAUGGGUUUGAAUACGUUAACGGGAUUUGCAAAGAAAUUUAUUGAUAUGCAGGGUAUGCCUGUGAUUCUAUCGAGAAUAAGGAGUUCACAUUGUGAUUUUAUUAGUAUUUAUUUAUUAUUUAUUUAAUAUAUAAAAACAAAAACAAAAUAUAAUAUCAUCGUAAACAAAAGAAAUAUUCACAUUGGCAUUAGGCGUGUUUAACAAUUAGAAUGUAACGUUCGUAAACAGCAGCGCGUAUGGUGCUUUCACCUAUCGACUGUAGAUGUGAACAAACCAAACACUAAACCCGCCUUAACCCAGGUCACGAACUUGUUUAUAUCUUGAAAUAGUAUAUUAUAGCAAUUUUAGAUAAUUUUUUAAUAUACUAGUAGCCGUGGAUCCUAAAAAAUAUAGUCUCUGUUCGCUAAACCUGUCAGCGUCAGUGCAAAAAGUGAACUUAAAACAAAUAGUGUACAAGACACAAAAAAAUGAGGUUAUAAUUACGUUGAAUCGGUUCACAUAACACAAUUAUUUCAAUAUUUAAUUAAAAAUAUAUAUAUUUAAAUGACAUAUCACUAUUUUCGUAUAUCUUAAUAAAAUAUGUUGAAAAUAUACAGUGUGACCCAAAAGUAUUCAUCACGUUUCAACUACAAAAACGUUUAAUAAAUAAAGUUAUUUUUAUAUCACACUGUAUAUCCGUAUAUGUGUAACGUUAAUUAUUAUAAUUGGUACUUAAGGUAGCUCCAUUCUAGGAGUAUGAUCAAUUUUCUUUUGAAAUUAUUAAAUAUAUCAAUAAGACUAAUUCCUACUUUUGAAGUGAAAAUUUGACGAAAAUAUUACGUUUGACAACGGUGUAAUCUUAUAUCGAGUAAUAAAAUGUUUCUAGCUUGAUAAUGACGUAAUCUGUAUUUUUGGGGUUUCAAAUUUUUUCUUAAUUUAUUUUAUUCAUGGUAGUAAAUAUAAGUAGGAUUUAAUAUUAUUAUCUAUAUAACUAUUUAAGAUUCCCAGUACUUACUGUUAAUAAAAACAUUAAUAAAUAA